CCUGCCAGAGCCCCGGGAGCUGCCCUGCCAAGACCUAUCCUGGGAGAGCUAUUGAAAGAGCCUCGAGAAAAGGGUCAGGGGACCCAGGGGAAGAGACCGAAGAGGUGGUAUAAUUGAGCCCAAGAGAAGUGACUUGCCCAAGGUUCAGCACUCUCCAAGAGGAAAUAGCAAAGCCAGAAUUAGGCUUAGAUUUUCUGCUCACCAGUCCAGAAACCCGCCUCACCAUGUUGCUCCAAACACAUUUUGAGGCUUUUAUCGGGACCAGAGAAGAUGUGAUGAUGUUGGAGCACAAAGACAUUGAACUGCUGGCUGAUGUCACGAGUAGCAGAGGGAGAGCGCACAGCAGGCCUCUCCCUGCCCCGGGGCCAAGCUUCUCCUCUGGUCCACCCACCGCCUCCCAUCUUCUCCAGAUCCUUCCCAUCCUCCGAGGAGGCCGCCCUCCAGCCCCGCUCUCGGAACACCUGCCCCUCGGUGGGGGACACUCACCAGAUCCGCUUCACAUGUGCAGCCCCUGGAGACACACCACAGAUGCACGUGGAGUCUCAGGGCCCCUUAGACACCAGGACCGGCCCCACGUGCCUCAGCGGCCUGUCAGCUGGUCUGUUGGUGUCUGGCAUACCUUAAGAAUGAAGCGAUUAUGUUUCCUCUUAAUCACGGGAUUGGGUUGAUGGAAGAAGACCCCCAUCUGCAGUCUAAUUGGGCUGUGGGUAGGAAACAAAGAUGUGGCACGUUUUGCGGGUAAAAUCUGGCUGGCACGUGUGUUCAUCCGCUUCUGGACUUCUGGCUCUUCUCUCAAGUCCACUUUGUGUUGCAGUUCCCGGUGCACGUGUGGCUCCCCUGUCGUCUAACUGAGGGAGGGAUGUGGCGCCUCCAUCCUUGAAGCUUCCCGGCAUGCAGUGCAGUGGGCGCCACUCAAGGCAGCACUGAACUGGCCUCCGAGGGUUGGGAGGGUUGGAUUAGACCUUGGAGAAGUCAUGCAGUCUCUCCGACCCUUGGUUUCCCUAGCUGUAUAAUGGGCAUAAUGCUUUCUAACCUUUCUCCUUCCUUAGCUUUUAAAGAAGACUCUAGUUCCUGCUCUGUACUCAAGCUUAUUAGUGGGUUUUUUGUUUCGUUUUUUCUCUCAGCCACCAUGCUGCUGGGUGGGUGAGACUCAAGUGAGGCUCCCGCGCAGCGGCCCGGGCAUCAGCUGGGAGCUUGUUAGAAAUGCAGAGUCUCGGGCUGCACACCAGACAGACUGAAUCUGCAUUCGAGCAACCUCCCCAGGAAAUUCGUGUGCACAUG
Molecule: long non-coding RNA, 1281 nt
Filed under: Ursus maritimus (polar bear)
Lineage: Eukaryota; Metazoa; Chordata; Mammalia; Carnivora; Ursidae
Description: lncRNA (ENSUMAG00000000939.1)
Source: RNAcentral